Molecule: ribosomal RNA, 518 nt
Filed under: uncultured bacterium
Lineage: Bacteria
Description: bacterial SSU rRNA
Rfam family: Bacterial small subunit ribosomal RNA
Source: RNAcentral
AGAAUUGAUCUGGUUCAGGAUGAACGCUAGCUACAGGCUUAACACAUGCAAGUCGAGGGGCAGCAUGGUCUUAGCUUGCUAAGGCUGAUGGCGACCGGCGCACGGGUGAGUAACGCGUAUCCAACCUUCCCCAUAGUAGGGGAUAGCCCGGCGAAAGUCGGAUUAAUACCCUAUGUUAUUCGAUGCAGACAUCUAAGUUGAAUCAAAGGUUUACCGCUAUGGGAUGGGGAUGCGUCUGAUUAGGUUGCAGGCGGGGUAACGGCCCACCUGGCCUACGAUCAGUAGGGUUCUGAGAGGAAGGUCCCCCACAUUGGAACUGAGACACGGUCCAAACUCCUACGGGAGGCAGCAGUGAGGAAUAUUGGUCAAUGGGCGAGAGCCUGAACCAGCCAAGUAGCGUGCAGGAUGACGGCCCUAUGGGUUGUAAACUGCUUUUAUGCGGGGAUAAAGUGAGGGACGUGUCCCUUUUUGUAGGUACCGCAUGAAUAAGGACCGGCUAAUUCCGUGCCAGCAGCAGC